This 468-nucleotide ribosomal RNA is filed under the name uncultured bacterium. RNAcentral describes it as "partial 16S ribosomal RNA". It matches the Rfam family "Bacterial small subunit ribosomal RNA", at positions 28 to 507 of the family's 1533-position model. The record is from RNAcentral.
GACGAACGCUGGCGGCGUGCUUAACACAUGCAAGUCGAACGGUAAGGGCCUGCUUUUGUGGGGUGCUCAAGUGCCGCGCGCGUGAGUGUCACGUGUGUAACCUCCCCCUGACUUUGGGGUACCUCCUUGAAACUCGGGCUCUUACCGCACAUGAGCUCCUUCUGCACGGUGGGGAUUUGAAAAUUUCGGCGUUUCGGCAUGGACUCGUGGCCUAUCGUCUUGUUGGUGAGGUAGUGGCUUACCAGGGCUUGGACGGGUAGCCGGCCUGCGAGGGUGACCGGCCACAUUGGGACAGGGGUACGGCCCAGACGGAUACGGGAGGAAGCAGUGAGGAUCAGAGCACAAUGGGCGGAAGCAGGAAGCAGCAACGCCGGGUGCGGGAUGACGGCCUUCGGGCUGUAAACCGCGUUCGACUGGGACGAAGAGUGAGUGACGGUAAUUGGUAAAGAAGCACCGGCUAACUACGUG